RNAcentral lists this ribosomal RNA (320 nucleotides) under uncultured bacterium. RNAcentral describes it as "bacterial SSU rRNA". It matches the Rfam family "Bacterial small subunit ribosomal RNA", at positions 12 to 360 of the family's 1533-position model. The record is from RNAcentral.
UUUGAUCCUGGCUCAGAACGAACGCUGGCGGCAGGCCUAACACAUGCAAGUCGAGCGAGAUCUUCGGGUCUAGCGGCGGACGGGUGAGUAACGCGUGGGAAUAUGCCCUUCUCUACGGAAUAGCCUCGGGAAACUGAGAGUAAUACCGUAUACGCCCUUUGGGGGAAAGAUUUAUCGGAGAAGGAUUAGCCCGCGUUGGAUUAGGUAGUUGGUGGGGUAAUGGCCUACCAAGCCGACGAUCCAUAGCUGGUUUGAGAGGAUGAUCAGCCACACUGGGACUGAGACACGGCCCAGACUCCUACGGGAGGCAGCAAGGGCGA